Anolis carolinensis (green anole) is the source of this 2198-nucleotide long non-coding RNA. RefSeq lists it as uncharacterized. The record is from RefSeq and is a predicted model, not a curated record. The transcript has 5 exons. NCBI's taxonomy places the organism in Eukaryota, Metazoa, Chordata, Lepidosauria, Squamata, Anolidae.
GGAUCUAAAUAGGUGCCAUCCCAUGAUCUGGCGAAGGAGGGGAGAGAGAUCUGAUCGAUUUUAUCCUCCUUUCCCUGCCUCUGCCAGGCUGCCAACCAGCACCAGGGUUUUCAAAAGAGCUGCCUUCAUCACUAUUCCAAACAUGAACCAGGCAAGAGGAGCACAAAGCCAGCAAUUGAGAAUCCAAGCGUGGGAACAUGGCCCUCCCCAUUUCUGCUGAGGUGGUCAUUCUCCAGUCGGACUUGGGAAGAUUCCUCCCCCCUCUUUCCUUUCUAUCUUGUUUGUAAUCUCCCCAGGGUUGAACUUCAGCCCCUGUUGAAUCACUCCAGGCAAGAGUGGAAAGGAGAAGGAUCAAACAGCCAGAAGGAAUGCAACAUGGCCUGCAGCUUUUGCCCAUUUCAGCCGAGAAAUUGUGGGUCUUGCUGGUGAAGAAAAGGGGAGAUUUCAAAAGAAGCCCAGCCAAAAUUAAGGAAAUCGUAGUGGUUGUUCUGGUUUGACUCACCCGAGGCAACCCGUUAAAGGGUCACAAGGAGCUAAAACAGAUGUGGGCAGAACAAUGGAACAGCGUAAUCUCCUUUGGAUUUUUUUCAUUAUGAGAAAGUCCUUCCUCAAUCAGAAUCAAGCAAACAUGGACAAAGUGGUAGUUUAAAUAGAAGAAGCCAAUUCUCUGCAGCCAAAUAUUUGGAAGACCACCAUGUACAAGUUAUGAAAUAUUACCAAUCAAAGAUUCUAACAGCCUCCUCAUCCCUUUUAGGAGAGAAGAAACAAAGGGGAAACACCUGUGAUCCUUCUUCAAAGCUUGAAAAGAAACCCAGUCUGGGCCUCUAGACACAAUGUGCCACGUUUAUCAGGAAGUUUCGGCUCUCCACAAGAUGCAUGUCAAAAAGGGGAGGGAGGAAAAACACAAAGCGGAAGAGAGGACACCAUGUUCAAGGUUGGCAUGGAUGUUAUUCUAGGACUGUAACGGGCCAAAAAGGAAAAGCCAGGCUUGCUUGCAGGACCAGGAAAAGAGGGGAAUGCAUGCACAGCUAGCAGCAGCAGAGGCACAUGACAAAUAAUAAAGAAGGAGAACAAGAACAUGUGCAAACUCGCAACGUCAUUUGGGGUGUGUAUUGUUUGUUCAAACCAAUAACCUUCCCAAAAAGCUUAGGACUUGAAAUGGUAAAGAAGGGGAAACUUACAGGUCCAGUGUUGAUUUUUUUAAUGCAUUGGUUUAGACACAAAGGAAGCAUCAAGGGGAAAACAAAGUUUCUUGGAUUAAAUACAGCCAUGAGAAAGCAUAUCAGAUAUAAAGGAUUUAGUGUUUACAAAAAAAUGAUAGCUAGGGAUGCAUCUAUACCAGAUAUGGGCAAACUCCGCCCCUCUGGGUGUUUUGGACUUCAACUCCCACAAUUCCUAACAGCCGGUAGGCUUUUAGGAAUUAUGGGAGUUGAAGUCCAAAACACCUGGAGGGCCAAUGUGUGCCCAUACCUGAUCUAUACUGUAGAAUUAGUGCAGUUUGAUACCAUUUUAGCACCAAUGUCUCAAUGCUAUGGAAUCAUGGGAGUUGUAGUCUGGUGAAGCACAAGCUCUCUUUGGCAGUGAAGUUCCAAGACUACAACUCACAGGACUCUUUAGCAUUGCGCAAUGGCAGCUAAAGUGGUUCCAAACUGUUUAUUCUACAGUACAUAUGUACCCAAGGAGAAACUUCUGAAUUAUAUUCCCAUUGAAUCAAUAGACAAAUCGGAUUUUCACAUCUCAAAGCAGGUUCUGGUCCAGUGCUGGUGUGUGACAAUCGUGAGUUGAAAAUUUGCAGUCUUCCAAACAUAAAUGCAAACAUGUUUGCUCAUCCAUGACAAGGCAGUGCACUAUUUGAUUUGUUUCUUCCCUGUUUUUGAAAAAAGAAACAGGUUUGUACGUAAUCAUAAAUCUUCUGUAUCUUAAUGGAAGGCUGCCCUUAUUUGUACACACAUUAUUAAUGACUGUUCCUGCUGUUUUUCCAGAGCAAAGUAUAGCCCAAUACAAGGUUAAGAUCAAGCUAAAAAUUGAUUGUUACAAAGGUGACCAAAAGUAAAAGCAGAAGCCCUUUGAACACAUUGGCAAUGCUUUAUAAUUUGUAUUGGUGGGCAAGUGUGUUUAUGAUGUUCAUGCAUUUUCUUUAUACUAUUUUUAUUUCCUUUUUCAAAUUAAAGUUAAUAAACAUGUUUUUUAAAAAUGAA